GACGAACGCUGGCGGCGUGCUUAACACAUGCAAGUCGAACGGAAAGGCCUCAGCUUGCUGGGGUACUCGAGUGGCGAACGGGUGAGUAACACGUGGGUGAUCUGCCUUGCACUCUGGGAUAAGCUUGGGAAACUGGGUCUAAUACCGGAUAUGAACUGCCUUUAGUGUGGUGGUUGGAAAGUUUUUUCGGUGCAAGAUGAGCUCGCGGCCUAUCAGCUUGUUGGUGGGGUAAUGGCCUACCAAGGCGUCGACGGGUAGCCGGCCUGAGAGGGUGUACGGCCACAUUGGGACUGAGAUACGGCCCAGACUCCUACGGGAGGCAGCAGUGGGGAAUAUUGCACAAUGGGCGGAAGCCUGAUGCAGCGACGCCGCGUGGGGGAGGACGGCCUUCGGGUUGUAAACUCCUUUCGACAGGGACGAAGCUUUUUGUGACGGUACCUGUAGAAGAAGCACCGGCUAACUACGUG
This 467-nucleotide ribosomal RNA is filed under the name uncultured bacterium. Its description in RNAcentral is "partial 16S ribosomal RNA". It matches the Rfam family "Bacterial small subunit ribosomal RNA", at positions 28 to 507 of the family's 1533-position model. The record is from RNAcentral.